AUGAUGGUUUGAGGGCUUUACGUGAAGUAAUAAAAUCGUUUUUGUGAUAUUGAAUUUCAACCACCUUGGAAAAGACUACGUUUCCUCUUGAUAUGAGAAUCAAGAUGACCAAGAUGUCCUUCAGUAUUGAAUAUCUCCCGUUUAUUUUGUUUUGUUUUUUUUUUUGUAAACACGGGGAGGCAGGGUUUUUUCUUCUGAGGUUUUUCCCUGAGCUCUUGAAUCAUAUGAAUAAUCAUAUGGUUCCCCUUUGCACUAACCUCAGCUAAAUUUAAUAGUGAAAUUAAUAAAAAAGCAUAUUAAUCACA
Coccinella septempunctata (seven-spotted ladybird) is the source of this 305-nucleotide long non-coding RNA. RefSeq lists it as uncharacterized. The transcript is spliced from 2 exons. The record is from RefSeq and is a predicted model, not a curated record. Lineage: Eukaryota; Metazoa; Arthropoda; Insecta; Coleoptera; Coccinellidae.